Molecule: long non-coding RNA, 6648 nt
Filed under: Theobroma cacao (cacao)
Lineage: Eukaryota; Viridiplantae; Streptophyta; Magnoliopsida; Malvales; Malvaceae
Description: long non-coding RNA (TCAC_LNC002364)
Source: RNAcentral
GAAAGAACCGAAACCCUAGGUGGGAAAAUUGAAGAAAAAGUGAGGGAUUUCAAGGGAUUAAGCUAAUAAAGGUAAGAUUUUGUGAUUUUAUCUUGUGAUUUACACUACCCAUGCUUUCUUUUUCAUUUUCCAUGCUUAGAACUCAAGUUUGCAUGAUGAACCCAUGCUGGCCGAAUUUGAGAGGAGAGGUUUUGAGCAUUGAUUUUGCUAGAUUUCAAGCUAAUUAAGUGUUUUUGGUUGUUUGGUAAUGGAAAGUAUGAAAAUCUAGCAAGGAAUCACUUUGUUCUUCACAAACCCACAAGAGGCCGAAUUUUCUAGGGAGGAUAUUGAGGCUGAAAUUGAUGUAUUUCAUGAUAUUUUGGUGGCAUUUAAUGAGUGGUGAGGCUAGAAAUUUAAUGGGAAAUUUUGGCAUGAAAAUAUGAAGUUUUACCUAAUGUAUAGAGAUGUGCGAUUUAUGGUUCGGACUGAUAAAAUGAAUCGCAUUCACAGUUAUUGAGGUAUUUUAAGUAUAAUUGGAGUGUAGAGAGUGAAAGAAAUCGAUUUCGAGUUAAAUUGAAGGUUUUAGCCAAUCACACUGAGAAUAGUGCGAAUUAGGUCGAAUACCGUAUUUAAACGGUUAUUCGGACAUUUUGCAUCACAUUUCGUGCAUUCAUAUAGAUUUAUAGAGCCUGAAAUAGUUUAUGAUAAAUUGACACAAUUUAUUGAAAUUCGUGUCACGUAUGAUGUAUAGGUGGUGAGCCCUCUAACAAAGGUAAAGAGAUUGUGCCCAAAGAUCGAGAAUAGGAGUAUAUCGAACUCCUAGUAUUAUAAGUAACCUUACUAUCGCCUUAAUUAUCUAAAGUAUGUUUUAUCCGAUUUUGUGAAUUUUAUGGAAAAUGAAUUAAAUGAUUAAUUUUUCAGUUUUAUAAACAAAAUGUGAUUUAGUGAAAUGAUUUCAUAAAAUUGUUUUAAAAUUGAAUAAUGACUUUUCAAAUGGAGUAAUUGGAGACCAUUUGAUGUAUUCUGAAUUUAUGGUUCUAAUUGAUUGGCUUAUGACAAUAUUGGCAUGAAAAAUUAUUUACCGGUAACUCUAUAAAUAUUAUUUUAUAAAAAAAUAAAAUAUUUUAUUGAAUAUUUUCAUUAUAUUCACAUAGUUAUAAUUUCACUUGAAAUGAAUGUUUUAGACAUCUAAACUUAUUUUUGAUUAUGAAUUAUGUGUUUUAUACUCGCAUACUACAUUUUUAGCUGGUUUCAGAAUUUUUGGGAAAAAUGACCAAAAUACCCCUGUGUAGUUGAAAUUUCUCUUUGAUUGUUUUUGAACUGAAAUUUGUUCAUAUCACUUUAAAACAUGAUUUUAGUAACUAAUACUCAUAGGGGAAGCGAGAAAACUAAUGUUAAGCCUUGUGAGGUUUCGAUUAGCAUUCCAAGUAAUGAAUGUCUAUCGGGACAUUGCCGCGGUUGUCACGGCCUUGAUGGGAGUUUUGGGUCGUGGCAAUUCAGUUGGUAUCAGAGCUUUUGGUUUUAAAGAUUUGAGCUUUUGGUUUUAAAGUUGUUUUAAAAUUUACAGUGUCAGUGUGGCCCUGAGUUAAGUUAAGUUAGGUUUGAUAGAAUAGAAUACGUGCAUCUACACAUAGAAUUUGGAGUUGUUUAGACUCGUUCUGUUUCUUCUUAUAGAUCUUAUGGGAGCAUAAGUCAUAGACAGGGAGCUAUAUGAACUCCUGUUCCCAGUAAUCCACUUUUUUGUUAAUGUCAUGCAAAGGUCAUAAGCAGGGCCGUUGUCCGAGUUUAAGAUGCCACCCGUGACACGAGCCAGUAUUAGAGAGAUCUUAAAACGAAUGCUCCUAGUGAAAGAUUAAUGAAAUGAUAUAUCCCUCCGAUUAAGGAUGGAGAAAUUUGGAGUUGGACUAAUAGGCCGUGAUAAUUUAUUUAUUUGGUGGAGUUAUAAUUGAACUCAUGGUUGUCAAUUGGAAAAAGAUUUGGGUACUAUGGAUUGUAUUGGGGUUAAUAUAAAAGAUCACGUGUGAUAAUGGUAAUAAGGGGCGCACUUUGAUUAGAAUGAAUAGUGAUGGUUGUAAUUCACUUGGAGUGUAUAAAUUAAGCCGUGAGGUAAGAGUAAACCCAUACUUAUGUGCAUGAAGAUAAGAAUAUGUGUUGAAUUGGUAUAGCAGCAUAGAGGGAACUGAUGUUGAUUUCAAUUAAGCGAUUAUGAGAUUUCAAGAAUUAAUUGGACCUAUUAUAGUUUAUGGAUUUAAGCACGUGAAUUAACUUGAGAGUGAGUAUCAAUGAUUACUAUAAUUGAUGUGUGGUCAUGAAGUAAGAAAUUAGUAAACAAAUCUGCUAUAAGGAUGAGCUUGAACUUUGCUAUGCAAUGAAAAAGGGGGAGCCAAGAGAUUAAAGAACUAAAUGUGAAAUUGGCCUCUUGAGGUUAAAUGACUUGGAAAUGUCGAAUCUAGUCUAAGUUCCAUAUGAAGUUCUAUAAUUGAGAUUGAUAUACGAAUUACUUGAAAGAUCAAUUUAAAAGUUUAUUUGGUUCAAAGUGUGCCCUAUGAUACGAAUGAUCUGUCUUGAAGGUGAUUUCCCCAAAGUAAGGAAUUUAGAAAAUGUUGAUAUUUGGAUAUACUCUAAGAAAGAGAACUUCUGCAUCCUAAGUUUAGAACAACUUUGAUCUUAUGAUCGCAAAGGCAAGGUGUAAUAAUUAAGUACAUUAUUCACUUAAUAAAUGUGAUUGGUUAUUGAUGAAUAAAGUCAAGAUCUUAACAUUUAGUGGUAUACAAUUUGAUAAUUAUGUAUUCAAGAGUUAUUUGGAGACAAUUCCUUCAUCAAAUUGGCACUAAAUGCUAUGGUAAAGGCAUAUCAAUGUUAAUAUGGAAAUGUAUCCAGGAAUGAUCUUAACAUACAACCAAAGGAGAAUUAAACAUAUUGAAAUUAAUGUUCUAAUAGUGUGCAUAUGAUAGAAAGCUAGUUUGUAAGUUGUAGUUUUCAUGAUCAUGAAAUAUAUAAAGAUUAUCAAUAUAUGGACAUACACUUGGAGUUGUAAUUUAUAAGUUUGGAGUAUUUAAGAUAUGAUUAAAUGGAAUUAGCAUUAGACAAGGUAUGUAAAUCUUUAAAUUGAUUUCUGUGGAGUGUGCAUGAUAGUAGAAUGGAGGAACAUAGUGCCGUGAUAUUAUAUGGUGAAGUUACUAUACAAUAUGGAAAGAGUAUUCUAAAGUGGGAUUUAUUGACUGAUGAUAAGUGAUAUGCAAUCUGAGAUACAUGUAGCUAUGAAUAAAUUUGGAGAUUUUUGCUUAAGCAAACUCGUACUAAAUGUUAUGGUAAAGAUAUAUGACUGUUAGUGGCAAAAUAAAUACGUUAGUUCAAUGUUCUGAUCGCACACUUAUGAUAAAAAGUUAGUCCACUAAUUGUGGUAUAGACUCAGAGGGAAGCCACACGAUUGUGAAUAAUUGAGGUAGUAGCUUUAAAGGUGGAAGAGUUGCUAGGAUAAAGUGAAUUCAAAUAGUUGCAGUGCUAGAGUAUUGACUAUCAAACGCUGUCACGUUAAGAACCCCUAAUGUCUAGAAAGCAAGAGCAAACUGUGAGCGGCAUAAAGAUGAAACUCACGAGUUGAAAUAUGGUUAUUGGUUUUGAUGCUAAGCUUUGUUGUUUAGAGUCUUAAGUGCAUUGGGGAGGUAUUAAGAUAAAGAUGAUGAGUGAAAUUGCAGAGUUUCUUUAUUGCCUUAUAUAUGGGCAUGUAAGAGAAAGAAAAGUUAGAGAGUUUUUGAGAUGGCUACAUAAAAAAAAAAAAAUAAUUAACAUGUGGAGAAUUAAGAUGAAUAAUAUGUUGACUAAAGUCAAAUCUUAAGAAAUAAAGUAAAUCUUGUAAAAGAUUAAAGAGGAAGUGAGGGACAAGUUAGAUAAAUAUAUGAGAUGUUGAUAAGAGAUGUCAAUACCAAGUGAUGAGAGUGUGAAUGGAGAUUUCAAGAAUGAUAUAGCAAAUGAGUUCAUAUAGAAUAUUGUUACGAGAAUUAACUAAUCUUGUCUUGACCUUGUUGGAAGGAAAGGAUUAGUGACAACACAAGUAAAGUACGGGGUAUGCUAGAAACCCUUAGAGAUAAGUUGAAGCAUGAGUAGUUGGGCAUGCCUUUAUGGAAAUGAUAUACUUGGAGUAUGAAAGAGUAAAUAAGUGAUUAAGUGUUUCAAGGAUGUUUAAAUACUUUUGAGAAAGAAUUAUAAAUUAUACGGAAUGAGUAUAAGAUGCGUGACUUUGAAACUUGCCAAGGAACCAAAUGGCUAAGUCACGAGUUAAGUGAUCACUUGCUGUGAGAUAUAAGUUAAGAUAGAUAUCCUCGAGGAAAUACGCAAGAGAAGUUCUGCCAUGGAUCUCGUGAAAGCAAGCAUUAAGUUAUGUGGUUAUAAAAAGGAAGCUGUAAGCUGAGAGUGAUAUUAGUAUUAAUAUUGAAAAAUACUUGUGGAGAAUCUAAUUUAAAGUUUUGCAAUUUUAAGUGCAAUUUAUAAAUUGGUUAAGGAAGAAUGAUGUUAUAUUCAUAUGAAAGAGUGGAACAAAGGAUGAUAGAAGUUGACCUUGAUAAUGAAGUAUGAUAAUGAAACUUUUCUAAUAUAUUAUGGAAAUUAGAAUUCGAAAAUGCUUAAGGCAUACAUGAUUCAAAUGAGUCUGAGUCUUAAGUGACAAAUCAAUAUCGAAAUGCAAGAAAGAUACAAGGUAAUGUAGAUGUAUGAAGGAUAAUCGAGGAAAAAGGAUGACUCCUAGGAAUUGUGGUAUUGCAUAAGAUGCAAUGAUCAAGUUAAGAUAAAUCUUUGAGGCAUCAAUGGGAUUAUAAAGCAUACAUGCAUAAUAGAUUAUAAGUCAAAGGAGAUGACAUUAUGAUGCAAUGAUAUAUAGUACAAGGAAACUUAAGCAUAUAAUUGGAAAUGAUAAGAAGAGAGUAUAAGUAUGUAAAUGAUGUGGAACUAUGCACAGGCAUGAUGAGAAUUUGUAUGAAUUAUGAAGAUUAUUCUAUUGAAUCUUGAUUAUGGAUGGGAAUGAAUACAAAGAAAUUAGUCUAAAGGCAUUUGAAAAUCGAGACCUGUAUACAUAAUGAGGAAUAUGGACACUUGGAUGUGCGUGUAUACGUAUAUGUGGAGUUAGUGAUGUACCCAACUAAAAUGAAGAAUGGUUUUAGUGGUUCGAGAUUUACUUAAUAAGUACUUGAUCAUAAAAGUAUAGAGUUUCUUUUUAAGAAUAUGGUUACUAAUGGUUAUCAAAUUUGAAUUAUCUGUGAUGUUAAAUAUAUAUCUAUGGAUAAAUAAAAGGUGUUUGAUCCUUAUGUAUUAUGAAAUGCUUGAAUGUUGGAAGGUUUGAUAAAAGAUCAAGGUAGAGAAAUUGUGGAUAGUUAAGUAAACAUGCAUAAUUGAUGAUUUAAGGAUGAUUUGACUUAGAUGAAGCCCAUACAUAUUUUAGAUCAAAAGGAUUGAGUGUUGAGAAAUAAAAAUAUCCUAAUGGUUAAAGGCGUUCCCUUCGGGGGAAGUAAAAGGUCUCGGGUUCGAAGCUUGGCAAGAAGGUCCUGCAAGGCGUGUCCUGCCACCCUUAGGCGUGGCGAAUACGAGUAAGUCAAGUGAUGGGGACCUGAAUAUAAAAAUACCUUGGAGUGGACUCUCGAGAGGGAUGCCACAAAAUACUCGAAUGGAAGAGAUGAUGUGGGAAGUCGAGCACCAGAUGAGAGACCGAUAUCCACGUCUUUUCUUGGAAUCCGGUAAGUAAAAUUUUGAGGUCAAAAUUUUAUUUUAAGGGGGCUAGUGCUGUCAAGCCCCACCUUAUAAAGUACUUGCCAUGUCCUUUAUGUGAUUGACAAUAUGCUUGCAUACUUGGAAAGCCCCGAAAAAUCAUCAAAAGUCAAUAUUUUACCAAAUGGUACUAUUAAGUUGAAUUAAGCCUUAAACUAGUCUAAAUAGAGAUCUUAAGAUGAAAUUGAGAAUUUUAGAAUCCCAGAAUGACUUAAAAUGAUGAUUUGGAGUUCGAGGCCUAAAUUGGAGUCAAUUUGGAAUUUUCAUGUUCUAGGGGUAAAAUUGUAAUUUUGUCACCGGAGGACAAAAUGGGAAUUUUUAGAAAAUAUUUUGAUCACAUUUGACUCAUUGGAGUAUGAUUUGAGUUUGAGAGGUGAAAAAUUUAAAUUUUGACAUUUUUGGAGUCCUAGGGGCAAAACGAUAAUUGUAAGAGUUUACGGGGGGCAAAGUUGGAAUUUUGGAAUUUUAGACCACCUAACACUUGUCAUGCCCAUGGAUUUCAGCCAUUAACACUUUACAUUGUGGAUAAUUGAAACAUUUUAUGUAGUGGAGAGAGAUUGCUUAAUGGAUAAGUAUUACACUGGAUAUUUUAGAGAGAUUGUUCAACUAUUUUAUCUGUCUCCAUUUACCCGGCUUUAGAUAUUUUAGAUGGUAUUUGUUUUCUCAUUGGGAUUAUAUAAUCUCACCACCCUCAUUUUCACCCAUUUCAGGCUCAGAAUAGAUUGUAGAUAAUUGAUAUCAUCGAGGACUACAGUUGGACUUGCCACAUCCAAAAAUUGUAAGUUCAUUUCUUUUGAUACUUUUAGUCAUUCGUGGACCCACGUGUCACUGUAAAUUAAAUUUUAUACUUUGGUUAUCUUUAUUACAGUAUGUAUGAAUUUAUUUUUCUUUUACGCUAUAAAAAUUAUUUAC